Molecule: ribosomal RNA, 502 nt
Filed under: uncultured bacterium
Lineage: Bacteria
Description: bacterial SSU rRNA
Rfam family: Bacterial small subunit ribosomal RNA
Source: RNAcentral
AGAGUUUGAUCCUGGCUCAGGAUGAACGCUAGCGGCAGGCUUAAUACAUGCAAGUCGAGGGGCAGCGGGGGUAGCAAUACCUGCCGGCGACCGGCAAACGGGUGCGGAACACGUACACAACCUUCCUUUAGGUGGGGGAUAGCCCAAAGAAAUUUGGAUUAAUACCCCGUAACAUUAUUGAAUGGCAUCAUUUAGUAAUUAAAGUUCCGGCGCUUAAAGAUGGGUGUGCGUCUGAUUAGGUAGUUGGUGAGGGUAACGGCCCACCAAGCCUUCGAUCAGUAACUGGUGUGAGAGCACGACCAGUCACACGGGCACUGAGACACGGGCCCGACUCCUACGGGAGGCAGCAGUAAGGAAUAUUGGUCAAUGGACGCAAGUCUGAACCAGCCAUGCCGCGUGGAGGAUGAAGGUCCUCUGGAUUGUAAACUUCUUUUAUUUAGGAAGAAAUGUAUUUUUUCUAAGAUGUUUGACGGUACCAGAUGAAUAAGCACCGGCUAACUCC